Molecule: ribosomal RNA, 238 nt
Filed under: uncultured bacterium
Lineage: Bacteria
Description: partial 16S ribosomal RNA
Rfam family: Bacterial small subunit ribosomal RNA
Source: RNAcentral
CGGCGGACGGGUGAGUAACGCGUGGAUAACCUGCCUCACACAGGGGAGUAACAGUUAGAAAUGACUGCUAAUACCGCAUAAGCGCACAGGACCGCAUGGUCCGGUGUGAAAAACUCCGGUGGUGUGAGAUGGACCCGCGUUUGAUUAGCUAGUUGGUGGGGUAACGGCCUACCAAGGCGACGAUCAAUAGCCGACCUGAGAGGGUGACCGGCCACAUUGGGACUGAGACACGGCCCAA